RNAcentral lists this ribosomal RNA (471 nucleotides) under uncultured bacterium. RNAcentral's name for it is "bacterial SSU rRNA". It matches the Rfam family "Bacterial small subunit ribosomal RNA", at positions 28 to 507 of the family's 1533-position model. The record is from RNAcentral.
GAUGAACGCUAGCUACAGGCUUAACACAUGCAAGUCGAGGGGCAGCAUGGACAUAGCUUGCUAUGUUUGAUGGCGACCGGCGCACGGGUGCGUAACACGUAUCCAAUCUGCCCGUUACUCGGGAUAGCCUUCUGAAAGGAAGAUUAAUACCCGAUGGCAUGUAUUUCCGGCAUCGGAGAUACAUUAAAGAUUUAUCGGUAACGGAUGAGGAUGCGUACGAUUAGCUUGUUGGCGGGGUAACGGCCCACCAAGGCGACGGUCGUUAGGGUUCUGAGAGGAAGGUCCCCCACACUGGAACUGAGACACGGUCCAGACUCCUACGGGAGGCAGCAGUGGGGAAUAUUGGGCAAUGGGCGAAAGCCUGACCCAGCGACGCCGCGUGAAGGAAGAAGGUCUUCGGAUUGUAAACUUUUGUCAACAGGGAAGAAGAAAGUGACGGUACCUGUUAAGAAAGCCACGGCUAACUACGUG